Molecule: ribosomal RNA, 1385 nt
Filed under: Salmonella enterica subsp. arizonae
Lineage: Bacteria; Pseudomonadati; Pseudomonadota; Gammaproteobacteria; Enterobacterales; Enterobacteriaceae
Description: bacterial SSU rRNA
Rfam family: Bacterial small subunit ribosomal RNA
Source: RNAcentral
GGAUAACUACUGGAAACGGUGGCUAAUACCGCAUAACGUCGCAGGACCAAAGAGGGGGACCUUCGGGCCUCUUGCCAUCAGAUGUGCCCAGAUGGGAUUAGCUUGUUGGUGAGGUAACGGCUCACCAAGGCGACGAUCCCUAGCUGGUCUGAGAGGAUGACCAGCCACACUGGAACUGAGACACGGUCCAGACUCCUACGGGAGGCAGCAGUGGGGAAUAUUGCACAAUGGGCGCAAGCCUGAUGCAGCCAUGCCGCGUGUAUGAAGAAGGCCUUCGGGUUGUAAAGUACUUUCAGCGGGGAGGAAGGUGUUGUGGUUAAUAACCGCAGCAAUUGACGUUACCCGCAGAAGAAGCACCGGCUAACUCCGUGCCAGCAGCCGCGGUAAUACGGAGGGUGCAAGCGUUAAUCGGAAUUACUGGGCGUAAAGCGCACGCAGGCGGUCUGUCAAGUCGGAUGUGAAAUCCCCGGGCUCAACCUGGGAACUGCAUUCGAAACUGGCAGGCUUGAGUCUUGUAGAGGGGGGUAGAAUUCCAGGUGUAGCGGUGAAAUGCGUAGAGAUCUGGAGGAAUACCGGUGGCGAAGGCGGCCCCCUGGACAAAGACUGACGCUCAGGUGCGAAAGCGUGGGGAGCAAACAGGAUUAGAUACCCUGGUAGUCCACGCCGUAAACGAUGUCUACUUGGAGGUUGUGCCCUUGAGGCGUGGCUUCCGGAGCUAACGCGUUAAGUAGACCGCCUGGGGAGUACGGCCGCAAGGUUAAAACUCAAAUGAAUUGACGGGGGCCCGCACAAGCGGUGGAGCAUGUGGUUUAAUUCGAUGCAACGCGAAGAACCUUACCUGGUCUUGACAUCCACGGAAGUUUUCAGAGAUGAGAAUGUGCCUUCGGGAACCGUGAGACAGGUGCUGCAUGGCUGUCGUCAGCUCGUGUUGUGAAAUGUUGGGUUAAGUCCCGCAACGAGCGCAACCCUUAUCCUUUGUUGCCAGCGGUCCGGCCGGGAACUCAAAGGAGACUGCCAGUGAUAAACUGGAGGAAGGUGGGGAUGACGUCAAGUCAUCAUGGCCCUUACGACCAGGGCUACACACGUGCUACAAUGGCGCAUACAAAGAGAAGCGACCUCGCGAGAGCAAGCGGACCUCAUAAAGUGCGUCGUAGUCCGGACUGGAGUCUGCAACUCGACUCCAUGAAGUCGGAAUCGCUAGUAAUCGUGGAUCAGAAUGCCACGGUGAAUACGUUCCCGGGCCUUGUACACACCGCCCGUCACACCAUGGGAGUGGGUUGCAAAAGAAGUAGGUAGCUUAACCUUCGGGAGGGCGCUUACCACUUUGUGAUUCAUGACUGGGGUGAAGUCGUAACAAGGUAACCGUAGGGGAACCUGCGGUUGGA